GUUUGGUCCAACUGCAGUGUUGUUUACAACUAAUGGAUCACAACCAGUUAUAGAUUCCUUUGUUCUUUCUCUACUCCCACGGCUUCACUUGACCAGCCUUUA
RNAcentral lists this Y RNA (102 nucleotides) under Prolemur simus (greater bamboo lemur). RNAcentral describes it as "Y RNA (ENSPSMG00000011264.1)". It matches the Rfam family "Y RNA". Rfam says of the family: Y RNAs are components of the Ro ribonucleoprotein particle (Ro RNP), in association with Ro60 and La proteins. The Y RNAs and Ro60 and La proteins are well conserved, but the function of the Ro RNP is not known. The record is from Rfam by way of RNAcentral. Lineage: Eukaryota; Metazoa; Chordata; Mammalia; Primates; Lemuridae.